GACGAACGCUGGCGGCGUGCUUAACACAUGCAAGUCGAACGGAAAGGCCCCUUUGGGGGUACUCGAGUGGCGAACGGGUGAGUAACACGUGAGUAACCUGCCCUUGACUUCGGGAUAACUUCCGGAAACUGGGGCUAAUACCGGAUAGGAAUCCUUGCUGCAUGGUGGGGGUUGGAAAGCUUCGGCGGUUUUGGAUGGACUCGCGGCUUAUCAGCUUGUUGGUGGGGUAGUGGCUUACCAAGGCUUUGACGGGUAGCCGGCCUGAGAGGGCGACCGGCCACAUUGGGACUGAGAUACGGCCCAGACUCCUACGGGAGGCAGCAGUGGGGAAUAUUGCACAAUGGGCGGAAGCCUGAUGCAGCAACGCCGCGUGCGGGAUGACGGCCUUCGGGUUGUAAACCGCUUUCAGCAGGGGAGAAGCUUGUGGUGACGGUACCUGCAGAAGAAGCACCGGCUAACUACGUG
Molecule: ribosomal RNA, 465 nt
Filed under: uncultured bacterium
Lineage: Bacteria
Description: partial 16S ribosomal RNA
Rfam family: Bacterial small subunit ribosomal RNA
Source: RNAcentral